RNAcentral lists this ribosomal RNA (726 nucleotides) under Bacillus subtilis. RNAcentral describes it as "bacterial SSU rRNA". It matches the Rfam family "Bacterial small subunit ribosomal RNA", at positions 544 to 1272 of the family's 1533-position model. The record is from RNAcentral. Lineage: Bacteria; Bacillati; Bacillota; Bacilli; Caryophanales; Bacillaceae.
GUCGGAAUUUUGGGCGUAAGGGCUCGCAGGCGGUUUCUUAAGUCUGAUGUGAAAGCCCCCGGCUCAACCGGGGAGGGUCAUUGGAAACUGGGGAACUUGAGUGCAGAAGAGGAGAGUGGAAUUCCACGUGUAGCGGUGAAAUGCGUAGAGAUGUGGAGGAACACCAGUGGCGAAGGCGACUCUCUGGUCUGUAACUGACGCUGAGGAGCGAAAGCGUGGGGAGCGAACAGGAUUAGAUACCCUGGUAGUCCACGCCGUAAACGAUGAGUGCUAAGUGUUAGGGGGUUUCCGCCCCUUAGUGCUGCAGCUAACGCAUUAAGCACUCCGCCUGGGGAGUACGGUCGCAAGACUGAAACUCAAAGGAAUUGACGGGGGCCCGCACAAGCGGUGGAGCAUGUGGUUUAAUUCGAAGCAACGCGAAGAACCUUACCAGGUCUUGACAUCCUCUGACAAUCCUAGAGAUAGGACGUCCCCUUCGGGGGCAGAGUGACAGGUGGUGCAUGGUUGUCGUCAGCUCGUGUCGUGAGAUGUUGGGUUAAGUCCCGCAACGAGCGCAACCCUUGAUCUUAGUUGCCAGCAUUCAGUUGGGCACUCUAAGGUGACUGCCGGUGACAAACCGGAGGAAGGUGGGGAUGACGUCAAAUCAUCAUGCCCCUUAUGACCUGGGCUACACACGUGCUACAAUGGACAGAACAAAGGGCAGCGAAACCGCGAGGUUAAGCCAAU